This 526-nucleotide long non-coding RNA is filed under the name Cercocebus atys (sooty mangabey). RNAcentral describes it as "lncRNA (ENSCATG00000045773.1)". The record is from RNAcentral. Lineage: Eukaryota; Metazoa; Chordata; Mammalia; Primates; Cercopithecidae.
GGCGCGGGGACAGAAGGGGGCGGGGCCCGGGCUACAGGGGAGGAGCUCGAGAAAUUAAACGAGGCAAGGGACAAGUCCGGAGAAGGUGGAAGGUGGGACAAGGGAGACGGUGGGCCUGGGCGUUGCGGGGGCGGGGCUCGAACCGAAGGGGCGAGGUUUGCAGGCCGAGACUACAGAUAGGACUGCUCAGUUACUGCCCCAACCACUACCACCUACCCGAGUGCAACGGGAUCCACGGAACUACAGGUGUGGGGCGGGGUGAGCGUGGAAGAAGGGAUGCGGAUGGGGGUGCGCUUUGCAGACAAUCUGGAGACUGCUGUAUGUUGAGGGAAGACACGGAGUCGAGGGAGCAGUUGGGGACUCAAUGUGUGGGCAACAAGGGUCCUGCUGAGCUCAGGAGCUGCACGGAAUGGUGGCAGUCACCUUGCCAGUGCAGCAGGCAUGGAUCAGACUGCAAGCUAGGGGCACAAGGCAUCAGUUGGGAAGAGGGAACGCACAGCUAGGCUCCAGGCCUCUUCAUCGGGGG